CGCACGAGCGCACCCCUGUCCUUAGUUGCCAUCAGGUAAUGCUGGGAACUCUAAGGAGACAGCCUGUGAUAAGCAGGAGGAAGGUGGGGAUGACGUCAAGUCAUCAUGGCUCUUACGUCCUGGGCUGCAAACGUGCUACAAUGGCUGGUACAAAGGGCUGCGAUACCGCGAGGUGGAGCCAAUCCCAAAAAACCAGUCUCAGUUAGGAUUGGAGUCUGCAACUCGACUCCAUGAAUCUGGAAUUGCUAGUAAUCGCGGAUCAGCAUGCCGCGGUGAAUACGUUCCCGGGUCUUGNACACACCGCCCGU
This 308-nucleotide ribosomal RNA is filed under the name uncultured bacterium. RNAcentral's name for it is "bacterial SSU rRNA". It matches the Rfam family "Bacterial small subunit ribosomal RNA", at positions 1088 to 1397 of the family's 1533-position model. The record is from RNAcentral.